This 484-nucleotide ribosomal RNA is filed under the name uncultured bacterium. RNAcentral describes it as "partial 16S ribosomal RNA". It matches the Rfam family "Bacterial small subunit ribosomal RNA", at positions 30 to 507 of the family's 1533-position model. The record is from RNAcentral.
AUUGAACGCUAGCGGGAUGCUCUACACAUGCAAGUCGAACGGCAGCGCGGACUUCGGUCUGGCGGCGAGUGGCGAACGGGUGAGUAAUGUAUCGGAACGUGCCCAGUAGCGGGGGAUAACUACGCGAAAGCGUAGCUAAUACCGCAUACGCCCUACGGGGGAAGGCAGGGGAUCGUAAGACCUUGCACUAUUGGAGCGGCCGAUAUCGGAUUAGCUAGUUGGUGAGGUAACGGCUCACCAAGGCGACGAUCCGUAGCUGGUUUGAGAGGACGACCAGCCACACUGGGACUGAGACACGGCCCAGACUCCUACGGGAGGCAGCAGUGGGGAAUUUUGGACAAUGGGGGCAACCCUGAUCCAGCCAUCCCGCGUGUGCGAUGAAGGCCUUCGGGUUGUAAAGCACUUUUGGCAGGAAAGAAACGUCGCGGGCUAAUACCCCGUGGAACUGACGGUACCUGCAGAAUAAGCACCGGCUAACUACGUG